Molecule: transfer RNA, 27 nt
Filed under: Stenocercus azureus
Lineage: Eukaryota; Metazoa; Chordata; Lepidosauria; Squamata; Tropiduridae
Description: partial tRNA-Trp
Source: RNAcentral
UAGAAACUUAGGCUAAUACUUAAACCA